Molecule: long non-coding RNA, 526 nt
Organism: Artibeus jamaicensis (Jamaican fruit-eating bat)
Lineage: Eukaryota; Metazoa; Chordata; Mammalia; Chiroptera; Phyllostomidae
Exons: 3
Source: RefSeq, a predicted model, not a curated record
GGCAAAAGCACCACCUGGGCCUCAGAGAGCAGUGUGACCAGGCUGCCAGCUGCGGGCUCCGUGACCUCGAAUUAAAGGUCCCUUUAUUCGACAAGCGGCCAGAAGCACUACCUGCCGGACACUGAACUGUCGACUUUCUUCCUGGGUCCGACCUCAGCUCCCCCAGAGUAUCUCCUCUGCCCCUCCCAUCAAGGAUGCAGAAGGACCAAUUGUAACAAAACUCAAGAUAUCAGUUGCCUAACCCACACAGAGAAGCAUCUCUCCUGGUAAGAGGCACACUUGCGACCCUCUGCAGGACACCUCCCCCCCCGGUGACACGGUGGAGUACACAGAGAUGGUUGCAGAGCAUCGAGAGACAGAGGGCCUCCUGGAAUAUUCAGCCUGGUCACUGUGACUGAAGAAACUGCUAACUAUGAACCCCUGUUACUCUUAUUAUUCCAAGUUGGUGCCCCAGUGCCCAGGGACAUCGGAGACAGUAGAACACUCAGAUUUUUCAUAAAGUUCUAGUAAAAAGAAUGUAACCCUC